Molecule: ribosomal RNA, 430 nt
Filed under: Pseudomonadota bacterium
Lineage: Bacteria; Pseudomonadati; Pseudomonadota
Description: Proteobacteria bacterium partial 16S ribosomal RNA
Rfam family: Bacterial small subunit ribosomal RNA
Source: RNAcentral
UGGGGAAUAUUGGACAAUGGGCGAAAGCCUGAUCCAGCCAUGCCGCGUGUGUGAAGAAGGCCUUUUGGUUGUAAAGCACUUUAAGCGAGGAGGAGGCUACUAGUACUAAUACUACUGGACAGUGGACGUUACUCGCAGAAUAAGCACCGGCUAACUCUGUGCCAGCAGCCGCGGUAAUACAGAGGGUGCGAGCGUUAAUCGGAUUUACUGGGCGUAAAGCGUGCGUAGGCGGCUGAUUAAGUCGGAUGUGAAAUCCCUGAGCUUAACUUAGGAGUUGCAUUCGAUACUGGUCAGCUAGAGUAUGGGAGAGGAUGGUAGAAGUCCAGGUGUAGCGGUGAAAUGCGUAGAGAUCUGGAGGAAUACCGAUGGCGAAGGCAGCCAUCUGGACUAAUACUGACGCUGAGGUACGAAAGCAUGGGGAGCAAACAGG